AAAAACUAUAGCCGACGAAAUAUAGUCUGUUUCGUCGGCUAAAACCCUUAUAAAAAAAAAUUAAAAAAAUAACUAUAACCGACGAAAUAUAGUCUGUUUCGUCGGCUAAACCUUAUAAAAAAAUUUUAAAAAUAACUAUAGCCGACGAAACAUGCCAUAAUUCNNNNNNNNNNNNNNNNNNNNCGGCUAAAACCUUAUAAAAAAAAAUAUUAAAAAAAAUAACUAUAACCGACGAAAUAUAGUCUGUUUCGUCGGCUAAACCUUAUAAAAAAAUUUUAAAAAUAACUAUAGCCGACGAAACAUGCCAUAAUUCGUCGGCUAAACCUUAUAAAAAAAAUUAAAAAAUACUAUAGCCGACGAAUAUAGUGUUUAAAUAUAGUGUUUGAAAAAAAAAACUGCAGAAACUUUCGGCCACCUCCAAUCACCACCAAGAUUUGAUAGAAUCUUCCUCUCAACAUUUCGAACAACUUUCUAGAAGAAGUCGAAGCCCAAUUCUAAGCCUAAAUAGGUCAAUUGAAUCAAAAUAUAAAAAUCCCCAACUUUAAACCCUAAAAACUUCAAAUCUUCGAUUCUCCUCACACACACCGAAUCGAGCUACCAAAUUCUAGGGGAAUGUAGUACUAAUCAAACUCAACUUAUCCAUAUAUAGAACUCACCAAAUGGUGACCUGAGGAAGGAGAAAUUCGAUUGACACCGAAUCCAAACCGGCGGAGUUUUGGAGCUCAAUAUAUCUCUCACGGCAGCGCCACUCGAUGCAUCACCUGUCCAGCAAUGAAAUAGAGACUACGGCGAAGCUUUUGGGACAAGUGUCGCGGUCUCUGGUUGCUGAACGGCGGAUCUAGGCCGAGAAGAAAAUCCGGAACUUUUUCUGAUUUUCUGAUUUUCUGACUUCUUACCAUCCACCUCCGAUAAAACUUCUAUAUAAAGAACUUUACCCGACGAAAUUCUUUAUUUUCAUCGGCUAAACUCUUUUGAAAAUUUUGGUUGACCUCCAAAAAAAUUUGGUUGAAAAUUUGAAAAUUUUUGACAAUAGCCGACGAGAUUUUGAAUAUUUUCGUCGGCUAAAGUCCUUUGAAAAUUUUCCUCCAAAUUUGGUUUACCGCCAAAAAAAUUUGACCUUGGCCGACGACUUUUUUAAUAUCUCGUCGGCUAAAGUCUAUAAAUUCACGAAAACGCUCAUAUCUCCCUCUAUAUUACGUAGUUUGGUCAAACCUUCCACACGAAAAACUUUCACGUAGAUGAGACGCAACCGCCUAUAUAAAAAUUUUGAGACAUUUACCUUCCAACGAUAAGGCUCCCCAUAAGGAAUAAUAACGGUAAAUAGGGUUGACCGCUACUAUCGGCACCGAGACGUUACCCGAUUUACAUGUUUUUUGAACCAUAGCCGUAUUUCACCAUUAUGAACACAUUUUAUUUCACGAGAUUUUUGAUAAUUUUGCUUCCUAUGUAGAGUUGGUUCACAAAGUUGUAUAACCUACUAAACAAGUUAUAUAACAUUAGUAGAGACAUUGUGAUUCCGAUGACUAAAAUUCACAAACCAAAAUUUGACCGUCAUAUAUGAUCAUUAUGACGAAAGAUGUCUAUGGUAAAAAAUUCAACUGGAUCCGACAACGUUAAGGGCUCGAUCGAAACGGUCAAUCAUAAUCCAUCGUCACUUAUCACACGAAAACGCUCAUAUCUCCCUCUAUAUUACAUAGUUUGGUCAAACCUUCCACAUGAAAAACUCUCACGUAGAUGAGACGCAACUGCCCAUAUAAAAUUUUUGAGACAUUUACCUUCCGACGAUAGGGCUCACCAUAGGGAAUAAUAACGGUAAAUAGGUUGACCGCUACUAUCGGCACCGAGACGUUACCCAGUUUACGUGAUUUUUGAACCAUUGCCGUAUUUCAUCAUUCUGAACACAUUUUAUUUCACAAGAUUUUUGAUAAUUUUGCUUCCUAUGUUUUAUAACCUACUAAACUAAUUAUACAACAUUAGUAGAGACGUUGUGAUUCCGAUGACUAAAAUUCACAAACCAAAAUUCGACCAUCAGAUAUGAUCAUUAUGACAAAAGAUGUCUCUGGUAAAAAUUCAACUGGAUUCGACAACGUUAAUGGCUCGAUCGAAAUGGUCAACUCUAAUCGGAAAUAAGAAAACUGCAUUUUGAAAGCCCUAAACAGACUCGGAUGGCCAAAAAGGCCCAAAUGUCAUGGCAAAGCGAUGAGUUUGACUCGUAGAGCCGUUACGCUUCCGAAAAGGUAUCACAAUAAUCAAUCAGACACCAAACGCCAAAUCUGCAGCAUAGUUAAUAAUAAGGGUAAAUUGCAUUGACCGCAACUAUCGGCACCAAGACUUUACUGGAAUACCGAGAUUUUUCAACCGUAGACGUAUUUCACCAUUCUGGUCAUAUCUUAUUUCACGACUUUUUUGCGUUUGAAGGUUCUACGUUUAGUUUUUUUUCCCAGAUGAGUUGUUGUCUAGAUCUGCAAAUAUAAGGCACUUUAGCCGACGAAAUUAUAUUUUUCGUCGGCUAAACUUUUAAAAAUUUCGUCGGCUAAAGUUCACAGACUAUAGCCGACGAAAAAAAUUAUUCAGACGACGAAAUUAAAAUUUCGUCGUCUAAAGUUGACCAAAGCCAACGAAAAUUUAAAUUAGCCGACGAAGGAAAAUUUCGUCGGCUAAAAUCCACGUUAGCCGACGAAAAAAUAAUUCGUCGGCCUGGUUUUUUUAUUUUUGUCGGCUAAAGCCUUUCUCCUGGUAGUGUCACUACCAGGACAAGCACUUUAGCCGACGAAAAAUUUUCGUCGGCCUGUCAACUUAAUUCGUCGGCUAAGAGCUUAGCCGACGACCUUUCGUCGGCUAAGAUUUCGGCGGGAAAAGGUCGUCUGUGGUGACUUUAGCCGACGACACAUGUAGAAGUCGUCGGCUAUAGUCCAGAGUUUAGCUGACGAAAAAAAUGUCGUCGGCUAUAGUCCAAACUUUAGACGACGAAAAAAUGUCGUCGGGUAUAGUCCAAACUUUAGCCGACGAAAAAAAUUUAAGGUAUUCGUCGGCUAUAGUCUAGAGUUUAGCCGACGAAAAACAUGUCGUCGGUUAUUUCUCCGACUUUAGCCAACGAAUAAUUUAAAAUAUUCGUCGGCUAAAGUUUGUAAAUAAAAAACAAAAAACAUCUAUAGCCGACGAAAUAUAGUCUAUUUCGUCGGCUUUAUAGGGAUUUAGCCGACGAAUUAAAGCGUAUUUCGUCGGCUAAAAUUUAAUUUAAAAAAAAAAAAAAACUUUAGCGGACGAAUUAAGGCGUUUUUCGUCGGCUAUAAGUCCAUUCCAGUAAAAAAAAAAAAACCCCGAAAUUUCUGAAUUACCAUUUCAAGGAAGCUGCAAAAUACACCAAAACAAUUCCAUAUAACCAACAACAAGCACAUAAAACUAUAUAAUUCAUUCAUCAACUACAGAAAAUCUAAAUCGUCUAAAUUAAUAUCCACUUCUGGGGGCUGCUGCGGAGGUUGCGGCGGCUGGGGUAGCGGUAUGGGCGGAGGCAUGGGCGGAGCCAGAAGUCCCUGAAGCUGAGCAGCUGUAAAGUCCUGCAUGUACUGGAACAUCUGCUGCUGCUGGGCCUGCUGGAUGGCAUGUAUCUCGGCAACAUAGGCUGCCUACGCGGCAUUAUAGGCUGCCUGCGAGGCAUUAUAGGCUGCCUGAGCAGCUUGCUGUUCUCGUAGUCUCUGAACUUUCGACUCUAGCUGAGUCGUCCUGGUGGUCGUGGACGUGGUCCUGCUGCUAGUCGAGGCUGCCUUUCGUUGAAAUCCUGGAGUGGUCUUCAGGAUCCCCCUCGCCUUUCUUUCCUAGACCUCGGCAGUAGAAGUUGUUUGCUCUCGGUGGGAAAGCUGUGCCCAUGAUCCUCGCCCCAAUCGUCGGAUCCGAAAUGUCGAUCCGGGACAUGGCUUCGGACAUCUCUUCCUCCUGCGUGUCCGGCCAUGUCUCCCUCGCUAUAGCACUCAUCACCUCGUCACUAGCCUCCCUCACCUUCGCCUAUAUGGAUAGGAAAAAUAUUAUUAAUUAACAUUUUGACAUAUAUAUAAGUAAAUUUAAAAAUUUAAAAACGUAAGAUGACUUACAAUAUCCUCUUGGGAGUCAGGAUAUGUCUUCUCGUACGUAUAGACGUACCAGUUGACUUCUGGAUGUUCCCUGGCCGCCUCGUCCAUGAAGACAGCAAACGGUCUAGAACCGCCAUGAUGGUUCCUUGUGUUGCGUUGCCGGUUCUGAGAGUUCGCUCGGGAAACGGCCUUCAAAGAAAAAAAUAAAUUAUUAGUAAAAUAUUUAAAAACGGACGUACUUAAUGACAAAUUAACUAAUUAAUUUUUUUAAAUACCUGUUUACGAGGGUUGUUGAAUUCUGAUGUCAGAAGCCAACGCCACUCGUACUCCCUGUACUGGAACUCAGCAGGGGUACCAGAACGUGCGUUCCCGUCGCGUAGUCCAGUGGGUCCN
This 4460-nucleotide long non-coding RNA is filed under the name Fragaria vesca (wild strawberry). RNAcentral describes it as "long non-coding RNA (FVES_LNC001389)". Lineage: Eukaryota; Viridiplantae; Streptophyta; Magnoliopsida; Rosales; Rosaceae. The record is from RNAcentral.